GUUAACGCUGGCGGCGUGCCUAACACAUGCAAGUCGAACGGUUCUAAGCGCGAGCUUAGGAUAGUGGCGAACGGGUGAGUAAAAGGUAGGAAUCUACCCCUUGGACGGAGAUAGCUACUGGAAACGGUAGGUAAACUUCGAUAAGCCCGAGAGGGGAAAGUGGUGAGACAGCCGAGGGAUGAGCCUACUCUCCAUCAGGUGGUUGGUGAGAUAAAAGCUUACCAAGCCGAUGACGGAUAACCGGUGUGAGAGCAUGAACGGUCACAAGGGCACUGAGAGACGGGCCCUACUCCUACGGGAGGCAGCAGUGGGGAAUCUUGGACAAUGGGCGAAAGCCUGAUCCAGCGACGCCGCGUGGAGGAAGAAGUCCUUCGGGAUGUAAACUUCUGAACUAGCCGAAUAAAAGGCCUGUGGACACACAGGAGAAGAAAGUAGGCUAGGAAAAGUCCCGGCUAACUACGUG
This 463-nucleotide ribosomal RNA is filed under the name uncultured bacterium. Its description in RNAcentral is "bacterial SSU rRNA". It matches the Rfam family "Bacterial small subunit ribosomal RNA", at positions 29 to 507 of the family's 1533-position model. The record is from RNAcentral.